This 253-nucleotide ribosomal RNA is filed under the name uncultured bacterium. RNAcentral describes it as "partial 16S ribosomal RNA". It matches the Rfam family "Bacterial small subunit ribosomal RNA", at positions 524 to 776 of the family's 1533-position model. The record is from RNAcentral.
UACAGAGGUCUCAAGCGUUGUUCGGAUUCAUUGGGCGUAAAGGGUGCGUAGGCGGCGCGGUAAGUCGGGUGUGAAAUCUCGGAGCUUAACUCCGAAACUGCAUUCGAUACUGCCGUGCUUGAGGACUGGAGAGGAGACUGGAAUUUACGGUGUAGCGGUGAAAUGCGUAGAUAUCGUAAGGAAGCCCAGUGGCGAAGGCGGGUCUCUGGACAGUUCCUGACACUGAGCCACGAAGGCCAGGGGAGCAAACGGG